This 254-nucleotide ribosomal RNA is filed under the name uncultured bacterium. RNAcentral's name for it is "partial 16S ribosomal RNA". It matches the Rfam family "Bacterial small subunit ribosomal RNA", at positions 524 to 776 of the family's 1533-position model. The record is from RNAcentral.
UACGUCGGGUGCGAGCGUUGUCCGGAAUUAUUGGGCGUAAAGAGCUCGUAGGCGGUGUGUCACGUCGUUCGUGAAAACCUGCAGCUUAACUGUGGGCGUGCGGUCGAUACGGGCAUCACUGGAGUUCGGCAGGGGAGACUGGAAUUCCUGGUGUAGCGGUGAAAUGCGCAGAUAUCAGGAGGAACACCGGUGGCGAAGGCGGGUCUCUGGGCCGAUACUGACGCUGAGGAGCGAAAGCGUGGGGAGCAAACAGG